CAAUAGCGUAUAUUAAAGUUGUUGCAGUUAAAAAGCUCGUAGUUGGAUUUCUGGAGGGAGCGAUCGGUCUGGCGCUUAGCGCGAGUACUUGCAUCGUCUCCGGCCAUCCUUGGGGAGAGUCUGUCUGGCAUUAGGUUGUCGGGCAGAGGAUCCUCAUCGUUUACUGUGAAAAAAUUAGAGUGUUCAAAGCAGGCUUAUGCCGUUGAAUAUAUUAGCAUGGAAUAAUAAGAUAGGACUUUGGUACUAUUUUGUUGGUUUGCGCACCAAAGUAAUGAUUAAUAGGGACAGUUGGGGGUAUUCGUAUUCCGUUGUCAGAGGUGAAAUUCUUGGAUUUACGGAAGACGAACUACUGCGAAAGCAUUUACCAAGGAUGUUUUCAUUAA
This 383-nucleotide ribosomal RNA is filed under the name uncultured eukaryote. RNAcentral describes it as "partial 18S ribosomal RNA". It matches the Rfam family "Eukaryotic small subunit ribosomal RNA", at positions 592 to 976 of the family's 1831-position model. The record is from RNAcentral.